UACGUAGGGUGCAGGCGUUAAUCGGAAUUACUGGGCGUAAAGCGUGCGCAGGCGGUUUCUUAAGUCAGAUGUGAAAGCCCCGGGCUUAACCUGGGAACUGCGUUUGAAACUGGGAGACUAGAGUGUGGCAGAGGGGGGUGGAAUUCCACGUGUAGCAGUGAAAUGCGUAGAUAUGUGGAGGAACACCGAUGGCGAAGGCAGCCCCCUGGGUUAACACUGACGCUCAGGCACGAAAGCGUGGGGAUCAAACAGG
Molecule: ribosomal RNA, 253 nt
Filed under: uncultured bacterium
Lineage: Bacteria
Description: partial 16S ribosomal RNA
Rfam family: Bacterial small subunit ribosomal RNA
Source: RNAcentral